UCAUGGUGGAUAUUUUUAUUGUGCAUGAUAACUUUGACCCUAAGUUUGAAUUACAAAGUCGAAUUUGGAAUGGAAAAUAAAAAUAGAAAAUGAAAUCUGAAAAGGAAUAAAGAAAAAUGAACUCCUCGCGCUUUGGGCCGAAUUUCAUGCUUCCGGCCCACUCACCUCACCAGCCCACCGCGCCCUGCAUCCUUGACCCUAUGCGCCUCCUUCCCACUGACCGCCAGGUGGGCCUGUGGCCGCAGCCUCACUCCCGCCGCCAGUCGCUUUGUACGCGCCGUCUGUCUCUGGCAUAGUGGGCCCGCCCUGACAGGGGCCUUCUUCUUCCCCAACUAAUUUCCGCCAUCCGCAUGCUGGCAUGGUCGAGAUCCGCUUCGUCGGUCUUCUCCAGGCUUGCGUUGAAACUGAUUCUCGCUUCUACUGUCACCUAGAUCUGCGGCUCGGCCUCCGGGCUAUAAAGACCAAGCGCGCCCGUGGAAAAAAAGAAUAGUAGAGAGAGGGAGAGAGAUUGCUGUCGUGGUGGCCUUGCAAGCGUACCAACACCGAGGUCUGGGCGUUGGGUU
This 563-nucleotide long non-coding RNA is filed under the name Zea mays. Its description in RNAcentral is "long non-coding RNA NONZMAT002484". Lineage: Eukaryota; Viridiplantae; Streptophyta; Magnoliopsida; Poales; Poaceae. The record is from RNAcentral.